AGACUGUUGGUGGUGUGGACACUCCCAAAAAAGAUCCUUGAAGCUUUCCCAAGCAUGAUAAAUGUUUUCAUCAAGCUUCUAUUUGAAUCUCACUAUCUCAUUGUGAAGUCU
Non-coding RNA from Capsicum annuum, 111 nucleotides. NCBI's taxonomy places the organism in Eukaryota, Viridiplantae, Streptophyta, Magnoliopsida, Solanales, Solanaceae. The record is from Rfam.